AUGCACGCUGGCGGCGUGCCUAAUACAUGCAAGUCGAGCGAACAGACGAGGAGCUUGCUCCUCUGACGUUAGCGGCGGACGGGUGAGUAACACGUGGAUAACCUACCUAUAAGACUGGGAUAACUUCGGGAAACCGGAGCUAAUACCGGAUAAUAUAUUGAACCGCAUGGUUCAAUAGUGAAAGACGGUUUUGCUGUCACUUAUAGAUGGAUCCGCGCCGCAUUAGCUAGUUGGUAAGGUAACGGCUUACCAAGGCAACGAUGCGUAGCCGACCUGAGAGGGUGAUCGGCCACACUGGAACUGAGACACGGUCCAGACUCCUACGGGAGGCAGCAGUAGGGAAUCUUCUGCAAUGGGCGAAAGCCUGACGGAGCAACGCCGCGUGAGUGAUGAAGGUCUUCGGAUCGUAAAACUCUGUUAUUAGGGAAGAACAAAUGUGUAAGUAACUAUGCACGUCUUGACGGUACCUAAUCAGAAAGCCACGGCUAACUACGUG
RNAcentral lists this ribosomal RNA (496 nucleotides) under uncultured bacterium. RNAcentral describes it as "partial 16S ribosomal RNA". It matches the Rfam family "Bacterial small subunit ribosomal RNA", at positions 29 to 507 of the family's 1533-position model. The record is from RNAcentral.